This 28-nucleotide non-coding RNA is filed under the name Cricetulus griseus (Chinese hamster). Lineage: Eukaryota; Metazoa; Chordata; Mammalia; Rodentia; Cricetidae. The record is from RNAcentral.
CAAAAAUGAGAGAAAGAACUAUGCUAAG